This 1603-nucleotide long non-coding RNA is filed under the name Mytilus galloprovincialis (Mediterranean mussel). The record is from RNAcentral. Lineage: Eukaryota; Metazoa; Mollusca; Bivalvia; Mytilida; Mytilidae.
CCAUGUUUUUAUUCUUAAAACUGAUAAAAUUUACAUUUAAUGUUCAGGAAAUUUCCCAAAAUAUAUGAAAGUUUCAAAAUAUUUGUAGUGAAGCUGUAUGUGACAACUAUUUUUUCGGGAAAUAUCCCGAAAUCAUUUUCAACAUUAUUAUUUAUAACAUAUAUGUUGGCAGAGCGUUUCAACAAAAAUAUCUGAAAAACAUUUCGGGAAAUAUCCCGACAAAAAUUAACUUACUACAAAAUAUGUACACAGAUGUCUUCAAAUAUUUCGGGAUUUAUCCCGAAAAAUCAAGUGUAUAUGCUAGACCUAACGACUAAUAAUUUCUUUUCACAUUUCGGGAAAAAUCCCGAAAAUAUAAAUCUAAUAUCAGGCACACACUUUUUACAUAGAUUUUUGUUACCCAUUUCGGGAAAAAUCCCGAAAUAAAAUCUACAAGCAGAAAUAAUGCAUUUUGAUUUCUUAAACAUAUUUGGAAAAAAUCCUGAAAAACACAUUUCGGGAAACAUCCCGACAAAAAUUAACCUACUACAAAAUAUGCACACAGAUGUCUUCAAAUAUUUCGGGAUUUGUCCCGAAAAUUCAAGUGUAUAUACUAGACAUAACGACUAAUAAUUUCUUUUCACAUUUCGGGAAAAAUCCCGAAAAUAUAAAUCUAAUAUCAGGCACUCACUUGUUACAUAGAUUUUUGUUACCCAUUUCGGGAAAAAUCCCGAAAUAAAAUCUACAAGCAGAAAUAAUGCAUUUUGAUUUCUUAAACAUAUUUGGGAAAAAUCCCAAAAAAACAAAAACUUUAAGAUUUUACAACACAAAAUGUUGAUACAUCUAAAAAAAGUUUUUACAUAAAUUUAUUUUUUUAAAUUUUGAUUCAUAAAAAUUUUGAUUCAUAAAAAUUUUUAUUCAUAAAAAAUAUGUUUCUAACUGAAAAAAAUAUGUAUUUGUUUAUGACCACAUUUUUCAUUACUUUUCUUAGAAAUAUUAAGGUUGCUCUCUAUUGCAUCCCUUUUGUCAUGCUUCAGUAAUUUUCUAAAUAUAAUAUCAGGCCAAUUUGUCCCACAAAAAGGGGGUCUUAGGCCUCCUCUAAAUCCUAUUUAUAAGAGGUUGAUUUUAAACUGGCCUAAGCAUAAACUUUAACAUGUAAACUGCAAAAGAUUGCAAGUUAUAAAACUAUGAUUUAAGGUUCAGGAUUAUUAAAAUCCCCAAGCACAUGUAUUGUCCAAAAGCUUAUUUAACUGCAUAUAAAAUACCCCUGGUUCUCCUAAAACUGAACUAACCCGGUUAUCACAAAUAUUUCAGUGUAAACUAAGGAAAUUUUCAAAGUCAAAAUUCCAUUACUGAGAGGCUGGUGAGGAGGGCAAUUGAGAUAUGCGUCCAUAACACAUUGUACCCUUCUUCCACAAUCAGAUUUCCAUGUUCAGUAACUUAUUUGUAAUUGUUUAAAAAAUACUGACUUCAUAAUGAAACACUUGAAAGUACAAAGUUUCAAGUUUAUUUGAGUGACCAUAACAUCAUAGUAAACUAUUGUACAAAAAACCUUUACCUACUGUACUGUUGUACAUCUUGAAAACAAAAUAAUUGAUAAAAACUAGUUUCAACUCAUUCAAAU